Molecule: ribosomal RNA, 253 nt
Filed under: uncultured bacterium
Lineage: Bacteria
Description: partial 16S ribosomal RNA
Rfam family: Bacterial small subunit ribosomal RNA
Source: RNAcentral
GACGAACCGUGCGAACGUUGUUCGGAAUCACUGGGCUUAAAGGGUGCGUAGGCGGCGCGGAAAGUCGGGUGUGAAAUCCCUCGGCUCAACCGAGGAAUGGCGCUCGAAACUACCGUGCUCGAGCAAGGCAGAGGUGAGCGGAACUCAGGGUGGAGCGGUGAAAUGCGUUGAUAUCCUGAGGAACACCGGUGGCGAAAGCGGCUCACUGGGCCUUUUCUGACGCUGAUGCACGAAAGCUAGGGGAGCAAACGGG